RNAcentral lists this ribosomal RNA (282 nucleotides) under Streptococcus agalactiae CCUG 29376. RNAcentral describes it as "partial 16S ribosomal RNA". It matches the Rfam family "Bacterial small subunit ribosomal RNA", at positions 1 to 273 of the family's 1533-position model. Lineage: Bacteria; Bacillati; Bacillota; Bacilli; Lactobacillales; Streptococcaceae. The record is from RNAcentral.
UUUAAUGAGAGUUUGAUCCUGGCUCAGGACGAACGCUGGCGGCGUGCCUAAUACAUGCAAGUAGAACGCUGAUGUUUGGUGUUUACACUAGACUGAUGAGUUGCGAACGGGUGAGUAACGCGUAGGUAACCUGCCUCAUAGCGGGGGAUAACUAUUGGAAACGAUAGCUAAUACCGCAUAAGAGUGAUUAACACAUGUUAGUUAUUUAAAAGGAGCAAUUGCUUCACUGUGAGAUGGACCUGCGUUGUAUUAGCUAGUUGGUGAGGUAAAGGCUCACCAAGG